UUAGUUGCAAAAAAUGCUCUGCAGCUGGGCUGCACCUAAAUGAACCUAACUGGUGCACUGUGAGCGACCACCAUCUAGCCGCUGGAUUUCCAUCGCUUCCAUCCAGAACAUAUGAAUUUGCUUAGACAGACGCUUUUGAGGAGUUGAACAGAUAGGUCGGCGAAAAUGGCCCAGCGCGUGGUUUUGGUUCUACUGUGGCUCUUUGACAGAUCUUUCGCCGGAUUUCCAAAUCAAAUUAACAUUGGGGGACUGUUCAUGCGUUCCACGGUGCAGGAGCACAGCGCGUUCAGGUUCGCUGUCCAACUGUACAACACCAACCAAAACACCACUGAGAAGCCUUUCCACCUCAACUACAACGUCGACAACCUGGAGUCGUCCAACAGCUUCUCAGUGACCCAUGCGUUCUGCUCGCAGUUCUCCCGCGGCGUCUACGCCAUCUUCGGAUUCUACGACAAGAAGUCCAUGAACACGCUGACCUCGUUCUGCGGCGCCCUGCACACGUCCUUCGUCACGCCCAGCUACCCCACCGACAACGAGGUGCAGUUCGUCAUCCAGAUGCGCCCGGCCCUCCGCGGCGCCGUCCUCAGCCUGCUCUCCCACUACAAGUGGAACAAGUUCGUCUACCUCUACGACACUGAGCGAGGCUUCUCCAUACUGCAGGCCAUCAUGGAGGCGGCUGUGGCGAAGAACUGGAAGGUGACCGCCCGCUCCGUUAGCGGCACGACCGACGCGGCCGAGUUCAAGCGCAUCAUUGAGGAGAUGGACCGGAGGCAGGAGAAGAUGUAUGUGAUCGACUGCGAGGUGGACAGGAUCAACACCAUAUUAGAACAGGUCGUGACCCUUGGGAAGAACAGCCGCGGCUACCAUUACAUCCUGGCCAAUCUUGGAUUUUCUAAUGUGAGCUUGGACAAAGUAUUCGUCGGUGGAGCCAACAUUUCAGGCUUUCAGAUAGUCAACCCUGAGAACGCGAUUGUGCAGCAGUUUAUGCAGCGCUGGGAGCGGCUAGAUGAAAGAGAAUUCCCAGAAGCACGGAACGCUCCUCUAAAGUAUACGUCGGCUCUGACGCACGACGCCAUCCUGGUGAUCGCGGAGGCCUUCAGGUACCUGCGACGCCAGCGAGUGGACGUCUCGCGCCGGGGUAGCGCCGGAGACUGCCUCGCAAACCCGGCCGUACCCUGGAGCCAGGGCAUUGACAUUGAGAGAGCGCUCAAAACGGUCCAAGUGCAGGGCAUGACCGGGAACAUCCAGUUUGACAACUACGGCCGCAGGACCAACUACACCAUAGACGUGUACGAGAUGAAAACAGGUGGGCCGAGGAAGAUCGGCUACUGGAACGAGUACACGCGAUUUGUAAAUAUUAUGGACCCGCAGGUCUCCAACGACUCCUCAGUGGAAAAUCGAACGAUUGUGGUCACUACUAUUAUGGAAGCUCCUUAUGUGAUGUACAAGAAAAAUUAUAUGCAUCUGGAGGGGAAUGACAGAUAUGAAGGCUACUGCGUGGAUUUAGCAUCUGAGAUUGCCAAACAUGUUGGAAUUAAGUACAAACUGUCUAUAGUAAUGGAUGGGAAGUAUGGAGCCCGAGACACAGACACCAAGACGUGGAACGGGAUGGUGGGUGAACUGGUCUAUGGGAGAGCAGAUAUAGCUGUUGCACCUCUCACCAUUACUCUGGUGCGAGAGGAGGUCAUAGACUUUUCCAAGCCAUUUAUGAGCUUGGGCAUCUCCAUUAUGAUAAAGAAGCCACAAAAGUCCAAGCCUGGCGUGUUCUCCUUCCUGGACCCGCUGGCCUACGAGAUCUGGAUGUGCAUAGUGUUCGCCUACAUCGGGGUGAGCGUGGUCCUGUUCCUGGUCAGUCGCUUCAGUCCCUACGAGUGGAACCUCGAGGACCAGGACGAGACCAAAGACCCGCAGACGCCCCCCGAUCCGCCCAAUGACUUUGGCAUUUUCAAUUCCCUGUGGUUCUCGCUGGGCGCCUUCAUGCAGCAGGGCUGCGACAUCUCUCCCAGGUCUCUGUCGGGCCGAAUCGUCGGCGGCGUGUGGUGGUUCUUCACCCUCAUCAUCAUCUCCUCCUACACAGCCAACUUGGCCGCCUUCUUGACCGUGGAGAGGAUGGUCUCUCCUAUAGAAAGCGCUGAGGAUCUGGCCAAGCAGACAGAGAUAGCAUAUGGCACCCUAGACUCAGGCUCCACUAAAGAGUUCUUUAGGCGAUCCAAAAUAGCCGUGUACGAGAAGAUGUGGUCGUACAUGAAAUCCGCCGAGCCCUCUGUGUUUGUUAAGACCACGCCCGACGGCGUGGCCCGGGUGCGAAAGUCAAAGGGCAAGUUCGCCUUCCUGCUCGAGUCCACCAUGAACGAGUACAUCGAGCAGCGGAAGCCGUGCGACACCAUGAAAGUGGGCGGGAACCUGGACUCCAAAGGCUACGGCGUGGCGACGCCCAAAGGCUCAGCAUUAAGAAAUGCUGUUAACCUGGCAGUUUUAAAACUGAAUGAGCAAGGCCUCUUGGACAAAUUGAAAAACAAAUGGUGGUACGACAAGGGAGAGUGCGGCAGCGGGGGAGGUGACUCCAAGGUCAGCCUCGAUGUCACCACAAUCGGGUACCAUAGUGCAGAGUAAUCGGCAAGGCUGUUAGAAGAACCCAACCAGAACCCAACCAACUGUUUGCCCACAAUCGACCUGCUGCUGCCCCACAGCAGAUCAGCAAAUGAGCUGGUGGUCUGACAAGUGUGUUUAACAGCUCAAGAUCCAACUAAGGAGCCUGUGCUUAGCCAGCAGAAAAACAUUACCUGGUAAUCAAGAUUUGGAGAUGUUCAAUAUCGAAACCAUCGGUUUGAUAGAAGGUUUCUUUCUGUAAUUUACUCCUGUGCCUUUGGGCAAAAUCCGCCGGUAUCAGAGACUGAGUCGUAUCUGUAGCUGGAGUUAAAACACAAUGUAACACAUGUAAUUCCACAAUGUUUCCAAGAUAACAUUUCUGCAUUGGAAAGGCCACAACCUCCAGCUUUUCCCUCACAAAGGUGAAGUGUGCUAAUCCUCUGAACGAGUGGCUUUGCAGCACUUCAACGCCCCACUGCUUCGCACGUGCUGCAUCGGCCACAGCAAACGGGGGAACGGCGGAGUCCGGAGGGGACAAAGCAAAAAAAAGGCCCCGUGUGGUUGGACUCCACCGGCCCUGCUCAUUAACAGCCCCGCUGUGACCCCCCCGACCACAUCCAUCCCUCUUCCCCAUGCGAUUAAAUGAUGAAUGAUGUUUCCAUUAUGGGAGACACUGUACGUGUGCGUGAGUCAUCACUCACCCCUGACAACCUUUGUCCCAAGCUCCUGGGCUUUGUUUUAUAUAUACGGCAAAUGUAUUAUAUGCUUUACAAUAGAGGUUAAUGGCAAGUGACACCAUCAGCACACGUGUGAUGAUAUGGGUCAUGUAAUUGGCUGGAUUAUAGAUGAGCUGCAAGGUCCCAUGGUGUCAUUACACACUCGAAGCCAUUCGUCACGGUUUGGCUCGAACCGAUGUGAACAGUCAGACUGCGGUGACUGCUAAAAUAUCAUCACCACCAGAGACUGCAUGAGGCGCAGAUCUAAUUAUGUAUUACUGGAUCAUUUUGAAAAAAAAACAAUUGCUCCGUCAUCUCUUUCUCUGGUUGAACUGCCAACAUUGCUGCGUUCUGUGGCUCAGGAGAGCUCCCUGUGCUAUUAAAGGGCACACAGGUGCCACUUGAAAGCAUCUCUCUGAAGCGAUGCAAGGGUCCCACAUUGUUGCCAGGCUUUUUAUCAUGCACGCCUACAGGAUGCGUGCGCUGUCUGUCCGCUUCCUGGCUUGAUCCAACGCUCCAGGACUCUGUGAUUAAGGCCAGUUUGGCUGGAAUAAAUCAGCCCGGAGCAAUCAAAUGUUGCAACACUUGACCCUGUACCCGCUUAUAGCGCCGUGUUCCAGCCAGCACCGGGACCGUGCACACUCACACAGUCGCUGCAGCUCUUUCCUGGCCCCAGGCGCAACACAGCGCGGUUUAGAUUGAGUUUCAGACACCGAGCAUGUUACAGGGUAAUUGCAUUGUUAAUCAAUGUCUCCCUGAGCCAAGACAAUGGACUAGCCUUCACAGUCCGUUUCUCCAGAUUGGCUAUGAGGGAUAUACAGUGGUGUAAUCUUCUCUCAGUGCAUUAUGCAUCGCGCCGAUCCCCUUGGGUGACAUUCUUCCUAGGGAGUCGCCAGGUUGCUCAUUUAUUGAUGCACUAUUUUUCUUUCCUUCCAAUUUGCUUUCCACUUUUACCAAGAUUGACCCGAGCCGCAGAUGAUCCAGCCUUGGCACGAAAUGGGAUCGUUGUUAAGUAACUAGCGGCAAUAGGAUAUGAUGGAAAUUUUGAUGCCGCAAUAGUACAUCCACAUACAUCGAGUGGCAAGAAACACGAAUGUGAGAUCAUGCUGCUGCAGCUAAAUAUGGGAGGAGUGAUUUGUCUGAGCUCAGCCUUGCAGCUCUGUGCCGUUUAGUCGAGACACACUCAUCUGACACUAAUCUGGCAUAAUUGGGAGAUAAAGUUUUCUCAGCGAUGUGUCGGGACAGAACACAUAAGAAUUAAUUAAGCUUACACUUUUUAGGCGUAGUUGCUUGACUUCGAAAUUGGUUGUAAUACCUUCAGGAUUGAUUGUUGUCACGGCGGCGUCUGUAGCAUUAGCCGUCGCAGGACUGCGCCGACGUUGCUGUAAUGAGAAGCUGCUGUUGGAUUUUUCUGUUUGCUGAGACAAAGCUUCUGUUAGACUGAACUUGUUCAGCCGCGCUCACAAAGCCCCCGCGAUUACAACGCUCCCAAACCUUUUCCCGCCGAUUCUCCACAUUCGAGACUCGCAGACUGCACUUGUACCUGCCAGUCGCCCUGCUAACAGCGUCUGCCGAUUACUCGAAGCGAUACGGGCAGGUCCUGGCUUUAGACUAGGGGUUACACAGGUAAUAGCUAGAAUGCCUGCUCUCUGUGAUGUUGCCAUGGCCAGGAGCCCUGCUUUAUCGCUUUGUAAAGUAUGUAGUAGUUUAAAAGUUGAAUAACAUAAAAUAACAUAAUAUAAUGUUAUUUAUGUUAUUUCCCACGUGAAGAACUCCUGUAAACCUUGCAGUAUUGAAACUCAGUGAACAAGGCAUCUUAGACAAGCUGAAAAACAAAUGGUGGUACGAUAAGGGUGAAUGUGGAACCAAGGACUCUGGAAGUAAGGACAAGACAAGUGCUCUCAGCCU
Betta splendens (Siamese fighting fish) is the source of this 5213-nucleotide RNA transcript. It is a transcript of the gene named glutamate receptor, ionotropic, AMPA 3b, with no coding region annotated. The transcript is spliced from 15 exons. Lineage: Eukaryota; Metazoa; Chordata; Actinopteri; Anabantiformes; Osphronemidae. The record is from RefSeq and is a predicted model, not a curated record.